UACGUAGGGUGCGAGCGUUGUCCGGAAUUAUUGGGCGUAAAGGGCUCGUAGGCGGUUUGUCGCGUCGGGAGUGAAAACAGCUGGCUUAACUGGUUGCUUGCUUUCGAUACGGGCAGACUAGAGGGAUGCAGGGGAGAACGGAAUUCCUGGUGUAGCGGUGAAAUGCGCAGAUAUCAGGAGGAACACCGGUGGCGAAGGCGGUUCUCUGGGCAUGUCCUGACGCUGAGGAGCGAAAGUGUGGGGAGCGAACAGGAUUAGAUACCCUGGUAGUCCACACCGUAAACGUUGGGCGCUAGGUGUGGGAUCCAUUCCACGGGUUCCGUGCCGUAGCUAACGCAUUAAGCGCCCCGCCUGGGGAGUACGGCCGCAAGGCUAAA
Molecule: ribosomal RNA, 377 nt
Filed under: uncultured bacterium
Lineage: Bacteria
Description: bacterial SSU rRNA
Rfam family: Bacterial small subunit ribosomal RNA
Source: RNAcentral